This is a long non-coding RNA of Camelus dromedarius (Arabian camel), 1901 nucleotides long. RefSeq lists it as uncharacterized. Lineage: Eukaryota; Metazoa; Chordata; Mammalia; Artiodactyla; Camelidae. The record is from RefSeq and is a predicted model, not a curated record. The transcript is spliced from 2 exons.
CCUCAGUGUUCUCCACGGGGAGCACGAAGGACCUGACCUGGACAAGGACCCUGGAUGGACACUCCUCUCCCACAGCUUCCGGCCUCUGCUCUGUGGACAAAGGAGGGCUUGUUUCUUCUCCUCCUCCUGCAAGUUUGGAGCUUUAUGAUCCAAGGAGCCAUAAAUUGUCAUGAGAUCUGUAAGAUAAUUAUACUUUAGUAGGCCACCUCGAUAAUGAGAACACAAAGUGGAGAAGCAUUAAAAUCUGACGCCAUCCCCGACAUGAACUCCCUGGCCUUCAAGAAGGCAGGACCUGAGGAGCCUUUUGAAGGAACAGGCAGUUCAACUUUGGGUGAAGACACCUUAUCCUUCUGAGUGAAAUGAGAAGACUGAGAAGACUUGAGAAAUCCUUCUCCAAUACAGCAUGAAGAAUUAGAUUUUCAUUUUUAAAGUUUGUAUUUAAGUCCUAAAUUUGAUAUAUCCUCAUGAAAUUCUCCCAGGCACUGCUUUCCCCAGUAUCUCCUUAAGAUAUCUAGGCUCCCUCAUAGUGGGCCCAUAUCUUAAAUUUAAAAGCAAAAUAAACUUCUAAGCACUUCCUUAAAGAUUAUAUUCUAAAACCAGUGAGAUGAUUAGAAGUAAGAGAACUUACAAAUGCUAUCAGUUAAUGAAGGAUGUCCAUGUAGCAGGGAAUAUACAUUUUUAAAAUUCUCACUAAUCAGCCCAAGGAACAGUCUAACAUCAAAGUGUAUCUUAUGAUGUAAAUGGAAAACGCUGCAGGUUAGCUAACAAGCUAUGAUAAGGACAGGAAACACAUCUGCACAUUAAAAAUUUACACCAAGAUCAAAAUACAUUUUACAACCAAACUUUCUGUGCUAUUAACUUCUGCUACCAAGAGUCACUACAAUUAGCCUGGUUCAAACUGAUUAAAAGGAUGGCUCCUAUAAUUCAUAUUGUAAUGCCUUCAUUAUAAUGUGAGAGGGGAAAAUAAUCUGGAGUCUAAGAAGCAAUGACUAUAAUAUAUGAGGAAAAUCUCCUUAUUAUGAAUAUCUUUUAAGAAUCCCAACAUUCAACACUUGAUAAGAACUGAAGAUAUAAUUUUUCUAACAGCAUCAAGAAACAUGCUGCAUCUCAGUGAUUCUUUUUCGGGAAAUGUAAAAUAGUUUUAACUCUAAAAUUUCAGACUCAAAUUGUUUUUAGAAAUAAUCUGAGUAACACUGCUACUUGAAAUAGAAUCAGAGGAAAAACUAAAGGGUCUGAAAAAAAUCCAUCAGUCAAACAGAAACGGGUCAAAGGAUCAGAAAGAAUUAUUAAUUUUCCACCCAGUAGUUUGCCAAUUCACCAAGUGCAACCCCUGUGUGAAACAAAAUUAAACUGAGCAUCUGGCAAAGGAAAAUUUUAGGUAGAAGACAAUCAGUACUUAGAAAAAGACAUUUGGUUUAGUUCUAUCACAGGAAACAGCACAUGAAGAAAAGUUUCAUUGUAAGAUGGCUUUGUUUGUUCACGCUGUCCCUCAACAGUGUAACAUUUCUGGUUUUUCCACUGGGGUAUUCUGAUAGGAAGACAGGUGAAGCUCCUUCAUCAGAUACACAACAGUUUCUCUAAGGCUCACACUUAGGAGGUCUGAAUGUUCAGUCAUGCUGGCCUUCUACAAAUAAUAGGCAUCAUUUACUCAGAUUAUUUCUCCAACUUUGCUGUUACAGAAUAAACAGCCAACUCUAUCAAAGGUCUCCAGGCUGGCAGCUGGUGAGGUAGCUUAAGUUAUUCAUUAAGCAGAUUUUCCUCUGCAGUGUUUACCAAGCAGACUUCCUACUCUAAAGCUUGCUUAUCCAAGAAAUCAAAUAGAAUGAACCCAUUAAGUUUAAGAAUGAUAAUGUGAAAAUAGCAGCUUUUUAAAUAAAUGUGUGAAUGUAGGAAAAACUUAA